RNAcentral lists this ribosomal RNA (374 nucleotides) under uncultured organism. RNAcentral's name for it is "partial 16S ribosomal RNA". It matches the Rfam family "Bacterial small subunit ribosomal RNA", at positions 527 to 896 of the family's 1533-position model. The record is from RNAcentral.
GUAGGUGGCAAGCGUUGUCCGGAAUUAUUGGGGCGUAAAGCGCGCGCAGGCGGUUCUUUAAGUCUGAUGUGAAAGCCCACGGGCUCAACCGUGGAGGGUCAUUGGAAACUGGAGAACUUGAGUACAGAAGAGGAAAGCGGAAUUCCACGUGUAGCGGUGAAAUGCGCAGAGAUGUGGAGGAACACCAGUGGCGAAGGCGGCUUUCUGGUCUGUAACUGACGCUGAGGCGCGAAAGCGUGGGGAGCAAACAGGAUUAGAUACCCUGGUAGUCCACGCCGUAAACGAUGAGUGCUAAGUGUUACGGGGGUUUCCGCCCCUUAGUGCUGCAGCUAACGCAUUAAGCACUCCGCCUGGGGAGUACGGCCGCAAGGCUG